UACAGAGGUCUCAAGCGUUGUUCGGAUUCAUUGGGCGUAAAGGGUGCGUAGGCGGCGCGGUGAGUCGGGUGUGAAAUCUCGGAGCUUAACUCCGAAACUGCAUUCGAUACUGCCGUGCUUGAGGACUGGAGAGGAGACUGGAAUUUACGGUGUAGCGGUGAAAUGCGUAGAUAUCGUAAGGAAGACCAGUGGCGAAGGCGGGUCUCUGGGCCGUAACUGACGCUGAGGAGCGAAAGCAUGGGGAGCGAACAGG
This 253-nucleotide ribosomal RNA is filed under the name uncultured bacterium. RNAcentral describes it as "partial 16S ribosomal RNA". It matches the Rfam family "Bacterial small subunit ribosomal RNA", at positions 524 to 776 of the family's 1533-position model. The record is from RNAcentral.